UAGGGAGGAAAAGAAACCAACUGGGAUUACCUUAGUAACGGCGAGUGAAGCGGUAAAAGCUCAAAUUUGAAAUCUGGUACUUUCAGUGCCCGAGUUGUAAUUUGUAGAAUUUGUCUUUGAUUAGGUCCUUGUCUAUGUUCCUUGGAACAGGACGUCAUAGAGGGUGAGAAUCCCGUUUGGCGAGGAUACCUUUUCUCUGUAAGACUUUUUCGAAGAGUCGAGUUGUUUGGGAAUGCAGCUCAAAGUGGGUGGUAAAUUCCAUCUAAAGCUAAAUAUUGGCGAGAGACCGAUAGCGAACAAGUACAGUGAUGGAAAGAUGAAAAGAACUUUGAAAAGAGAGUGAAAAAGUACGUGAAAUUGUUGAAAGGGAAGGGCAUUUGAUCAGACAUGGUGUUUUUUGCAUGCACUCGCCUCUCGUGGGCUUGGGCCUCUCAAAAAUUUCACUGGGCCAACAUCAAUUCUGGCAGCAGGAUAAAUCAUUAAGAAUGUAGCUACUUCGGUAGUGUUAUAGCUUUUUGGAAUACUGUUAGCCGGGAUUGAGGACUGCGCUUCGGCAAGGAUGUUGGCAUAAUGGUUAAAUGCCGCCCGUCUUA
Molecule: ribosomal RNA, 593 nt
Filed under: Hanseniaspora uvarum
Lineage: Eukaryota; Fungi; Ascomycota; Saccharomycetes; Saccharomycodales; Saccharomycodaceae
Description: eukaryotic LSU rRNA
Rfam family: Eukaryotic large subunit ribosomal RNA
Source: RNAcentral